This 253-nucleotide ribosomal RNA is filed under the name uncultured bacterium. RNAcentral describes it as "partial 16S ribosomal RNA". It matches the Rfam family "Bacterial small subunit ribosomal RNA", at positions 524 to 776 of the family's 1533-position model. The record is from RNAcentral.
UACGGAGGAUCCAAGCGUUAUCCGGAAUCAUUGGGUUUAAAGGGUCCGUAGGUGGAUAAUUAAGUCAGGGGUGAAAGUCUGCAGCUCAACUGUAGAAUUGCCUUUGAUACUGGUUAUCUUGAAUUAUUAUGAAGUAGUUAGAAUAUGUAGUGUAGCGGUGAAAUGCAUAGAUAUUACAUAGAAUACCGAUUGCGAAGGCAGAUUACUAAUAAUAUAUUGACACUGAUGGACGAAAGCGUGGGUAGCGAACAGG